This 465-nucleotide ribosomal RNA is filed under the name uncultured bacterium. RNAcentral describes it as "partial 16S ribosomal RNA". It matches the Rfam family "Bacterial small subunit ribosomal RNA", at positions 28 to 507 of the family's 1533-position model. The record is from RNAcentral.
GACGAACGCUGGCGGCGUGCUUAACACAUGCAAGUCGAACGGAAAGGCCCCUUUGGGGGUGCUCGCGUGGCGGACGGGUGAGUAACACGUGCGUAACCUGCCCUUGACUUCGGGAUAACUUCAGGCAACUGGGGCUAAUACCGGAUAGGAAUCAUUGCCGCAUGGUGGGGGGUGGAAAGCUUCGGGGGUUUUGGAUGGACUCACGGCUUAUUUGCUUGUUGGUGGGGGAGUGGGUUACCAACGCUUUGACGGGUAGCCGGCCUGGGGGGGCGACCGGCCACAAUGGGACUGGGGUACGGCCCAGACCCCUACGGGAGGCAGCAGGUGGGAAUAUUGCACAAUGGGCGGAAGCCUGAUGCAGCAACGCCGCGUGCGGGAUGACGGGCUUCGGGUUGGAAACCGCUUUCAGCAGGUGCGAAGCUUGUGGUGACGGUACCUGCAGAAGAAGCACCGGCUAACUACGUG